UUUCCACAUACCACCGCUCAUUAUAUUGUAGAGAGAUGGUUAGAGAGAGAAACAUAUAGAGGGAAAGAGAGCGUGACACGAUGGUACGGUUCCGGCAACUACAACCAGACCACAGAUCGUCGGCCACCAGAUAUUUCGCAUUCGAAGCUUGCGAUUCACUGUACAGGAAGAGUGUGAAUUUGUGAAAAUUGAUAUUCAUCAUCGUGUUCAAGGAGAUGUGGUUCUUGAAUGUGUACAUGUGGAUCAUGUUAGGGAUCGAGGAAAUUAUAUUUAGAGUAAUGUUUCACACAGCAUUUGUGCGAAGUGGCAUACUCAAUUUGAGUUGUGAUGAAGUUGAUGUUAUAUGGGAUGCAAGAGACCAGAUGCAAAAGAACUUUAAAGCAAAGGUAUGUUUUUUGGAUCCUGAUGCUCUACCAUCUAUAAUCAC
Helianthus annuus (common sunflower) is the source of this 427-nucleotide long non-coding RNA. RefSeq lists it as uncharacterized. The record is from RefSeq and is a predicted model, not a curated record. NCBI's taxonomy places the organism in Eukaryota, Viridiplantae, Streptophyta, Magnoliopsida, Asterales, Asteraceae. The transcript has 3 exons.